GACGAACGCUGGCGGCGUGCUUAACACAUGCAAGUCGAACGGAAAGGCCCUGCUUUUGUUGCUUUCUCGUUUGGCGAACGGGUGAGUAACACGUGUGUAACCUGCCCUUAACUUUGGGGUAACUUUUGGAAAAUGGGGCUCAUACCGGAUAGGAGCUCCUGCUGCAUGGUGGGGGUUAGAAAGUUUCGGCGGUUGUGGAUGGACUCGCGGCUUAUCCGCUUGUUGGUGGAGUAGUUGCUUACCAAGGCUUUGACGGGUAGCCGGCAUGAGCGGGUGACCGGCGACCUUAGGACUGAGGUACGGCCCAGACUCGUACGGGAGGCAGCAGUGGGGAGUAUUGCACAACAGGCCGAAGUCUGAUGUAGCGACGCCGCGUGCGGGAUGACGUCCUUCGAGUUGUAAACCGAUUUCGACUGUGACGAAGAGUGAGUGACGGUAAUGAGUAAAGAAGCACCGGCUAACUACGUG
RNAcentral lists this ribosomal RNA (468 nucleotides) under uncultured bacterium. RNAcentral describes it as "partial 16S ribosomal RNA". It matches the Rfam family "Bacterial small subunit ribosomal RNA", at positions 28 to 507 of the family's 1533-position model. The record is from RNAcentral.